UGCUCAUUAGUAGUUGCAGAUACAUUGAAAGCAAUUAUGAACUUGCCGUCUGUUGAUGCAACAGAGUUUUGGUCUUGUACUGAGUUAUUUGACAUAGACUGUACUUCUAAUGGAGAGGUCCUAUCUUUGGUUCAUUCAAAAGGUUGACUUUUUAGUAGCCACUCGGAUGGGACUAUCAAGGUGUGGGAUGCUGGAAGGAGGGGUUUGAGACCAGUUCAGGAAAUCGAAGAGGAUGUAGCUUUUGCGGAUUCACCAGAUCCUCACAGGCCCGCAGAGGAUGUAGCUUUUGCUGUUGUUCGAUUUUUCCAAAGAGGAGGAAUUGUGCGUAAUGUUGUGCGAUGGAGCAUACAGAACCUCUUGUAAAUAAUUUAUGUAAAAGUUUGUAAAUAAUUUAUAUAUCUCUCUACUAUU
Molecule: long non-coding RNA, 411 nt
Organism: Asparagus officinalis (garden asparagus)
Lineage: Eukaryota; Viridiplantae; Streptophyta; Magnoliopsida; Asparagales; Asparagaceae
Exons: 3
Source: RefSeq, a predicted model, not a curated record